Molecule: ribosomal RNA, 1416 nt
Filed under: human gut metagenome
Description: bacterial LSU rRNA
Rfam family: Bacterial large subunit ribosomal RNA
Source: RNAcentral
ACCACCGAGAUCUACACUCUUUCCCUACACGACGCUCUUCCGAUCUCUGAGCUGUGAUGGCGAGCGAAAUAUAGUAGCGAAGUUCCUGAUUCCACACUGCCAAGAAAAGCCUCUAGCGAGGUGAGAGGUGCCCGUACCGCAAACCGACACAGGUAGGCGAGGAGAGAAUCCUAAGGUGAUCGAGAGAACUCUCGUUAAGGAACUCGGCAAAAUGACCCCGUAACUUCGGGAGAAGGGGUGCUCUGUUAGGGUGCAAGCCCGAGAGAGCCGCAGUGAAUAGGCCCAGGCGACUGUUUAGCAAAAACACAGGUCUCUGCGAAGCCGUAAGGCGAAGUAUAGGGGCUGACGCCUGCCCGGUGCUGGAAGGUUAAGAGGAGCGCUUAGCGUAAGCGAAGGUGCGAAUUGAAGCCCCAGUAAACGGCGGCCGUAACAAUAACGGUCCUAAGGUAGCGAAAUUCCUUGUCGGGUAAGUUCCGACCCGCACGAAAGGCGCAACGAUCUGGGCACUGUCUCAACGAGAGACUCGGUGAAAUUAUAGUACCUGUGAAGAUGCAGGUUACCCGCGACAGGACGGAAAGACCCCGUGGAGCUUUACUGCAGCCUGAUAUUGAAUGUUGGUACAGCUUGUACAGGAUAGGUAGGAGCCUUGGAAACCGGAGCGCCAGCUUCGGUGGAGGCAUCGGUGGGAUACUACCCUGGCUGUAUUGACCUUCUAACCCGCCGCCCUUAUCGGGCGGGGAGACAGUGUCAGGUGGGCAGUUUGACUGGGGCGGUCGCCUCCUAAAAGGUAACGGAGGCGCCCAAAGGUUCCCUCAGAAUGGUUGGAAAUCAUUCGCAGAGUGUAAAGGCACAAGGGAGCUUGACUGCGAGACCUACAAGUCGAGCAGGGACGAAAGUCGGGCUUAGUGAUCCGGUGGUUCCGCAUGGAAGGGCCAUCGCUCAACGGAUAAAAGCUACCCUGGGGAUAACAGGCUGAUCUCCCCCAAGAGUCCACAUCGACGGGGAGGUUUGGCACCUCGAUGUCGGCUCAUCGCAUCCUGGGGCUGUAGUCGGUCCCAAGGGUUGGGCUGUUCGCCCAUUAAAGCGGUACGCGAGCUGGGUUCAGAACGUCGUGAGACAGUUCGGUCCCUAUCCGUCGCGGGCGCAGGAAAUUUGAGAGGAGCUGUCCUUAGUACGAGAGGACCGGGAUGGACGCACCGCUGGUGUACCAGUUGUUCUGCCAAGGGCAUCGCUGGGUAGCUAUGUGCGGACGGGAUAAGUGCUGAAAGCAUCUAAGCAUGAAGCCCCCCUCAAGAUGAGAUUUCCCAUUCCGCAAGGAAGUAAGAUCCCUGAAAGAUGAUCAGGUUGAUAGGUCUGAGGUGGAAGUGUGGCGACACAUGGAGCUGACAGAUACUAAUCGAUCGAGGAGAUCGGAAG